GCAGAAAAAUUGCCUGAUGGGUAGGAUUAUGGGAUUAGUCAACUUUCCCAAAACAGGCCCAGAGGCUCUGGGUCCGAAAUGAGUUUUGGUCUGAGCCUUUCCCUGUGAUUAGUGACAGAUGUGUCAGGCCCACCCUCCUCCCUCUCCCAGCCUUGCCUCUUCUCUGAGUGCUAGGAACUCACGGUUACCAUAAUAAAACAGGCCCCAGAAAUAUGGGGGAAGGCAUGUUUCAGUGAAAACAAGCCUCAUCAUGCAGUGGCCCGGGGCCCAAGGAGAAAGGUAUUUCCGAUUGGACCAAGGGUCUGGCUUUGCCAGCUCCUCCCCAUCCUCACCAGAGAGCAGCCCCUCUGAGGCCACCCUGUACGAGAGGGGCUGAGGGGGCCCAUUAGGCCUGGAAUCUGUCUCAGAUUCCUGUCCGAACUCCCUGUGCCAUCUCUUUCUGGACCCCCAGCUCCCAGGGUCCCCCUACACUCUAGGACAGCUAGGUCCCCUGGCCCUUCUGGAUCCGGGCCUGCCUGCAGACUCAGUCGCUUUGUGAGCUGGCCUGUCCCAGUUCCAGAACUGGUGUCUCCCUGGAAACCAGCUCCUCAAGACCACUCAGUUGAGGCCAUCAUGCUGGGACCCUCAGACUCCUGAAGAUGUCUCUGCAGGACAGAUCUAAGCCAGGGAGGAAUGCCUCUUAAUGCCCUGCUUGGACUGAGAGAGUAUUAAGUUCCUUGCAAAGAAACCAUAUGCUCACAGCGGGUGUCCCUGUAGGGGGCGCUCUCCUUGGGGCUUUUUUCUUUCUAUAAAGGCUGACGGUGAGGCAGUAGAAUUUGUUCCUUCCCAGGAUGCCUGUGAUCGCUAGAGCUAGCAGAGCCUUCAUUUUAGCUCUUUGCCUCCCCCCACAUCUCCUGGUGGAGCUGGCCUGGUAGUCUGUCUGGAAAUGAGGUUCUGUUGCCAUGUGACAGCCACUGGGGCUGCCUGAACUUGGCUCCUCUGGGCUGCUAUAUCCCAGGCCACACCCAGAAUCCGGAGUUCCAAGCCCAGGCCAGAUCCCAGCGCACAACAGGACCAAGGGCUGAGUUCAGGCAGAGCCCAGAGCUCUGGUGAUGCCAGCUUCGGACCAGGCUGGAACUGAGGUCAAGGCUGAGCGCUGUCUCUCUCAAGGGAAGGGCUGGUCCUUCUUUUAGGGGUGUUGUAUAACCUGGGAAGUAGGUAGUUCUUUUGAGUAAAAGAAGUAAGAUUCAUUAAAUAUUAAAGCUGGACAGAAAUGUACAGGUCUCCUAAUUUUAGCUGGCAUCAGAAUCACCUGGAAGGCUUGUUAAAACAGAUUUCUGGGUUCUGGGUUUAGGAGGGGAUUUGCAUUUCUUUCUUGCCCUUCCUUCCUUCCUUCCUCCUUCCUUUCUUGCUUUCUUCCUUCCUCUCUCUCUCUUUCUUUUUUUGGUCUUUUUGGGAUCACAGUUGCAGCAUAUGGACGUUCCCAGGCUAGGGGUCGAAUCAGAGCUAUAGCUGCCAGUCCACAUUGCAGCUCACGGCAAUGCCGGAUCUCCAACCCACUGAGCAAGGCCAGGUACAAACCCGCAUCCUCAUACAUAGUAGUUAGGUUUGUUACCGCUGAGCCACUGCAGGGACUCCCAAGCUUUGUAUUUCUAACAAGUUCUCAAAUGAUAAUGGUGCUAAAGGGAACACACUUUGAGAAGCAUGGCACUAGCCCUCCUCUCCCAUUUCACAGAUGUAGACACCAAGACCUGGUGGGAAGAAGCCUCUUGAGCAAGGUCAGCAGCGGGGCUGACAGUGCAGCUGGGAGGGCAGGACUCCCAUCUCCCUGCCAAGGGACAUUCUGCUGCCCAGCCCUGCCUCAUGUCCUUAAGCCCAGGGUCACCCAGCUGGUAGCCAGCCCUCCUUGCUGCCUAUCACGGCCCAUUGAAUGCAGUUUAGCUCUGGCUAUGACUUAGGAAAUGGGUUCGUAGCACCCAGUUGGCACUGGGAAUGGAAGUGGCAUGUUUUGGCACAUCCUGGCCUCCUGUCUGAAAACUGUUUCUUUGGACGAUUCAGAACACGACUUUGGCUGAACCACAAAAUCAGACGGAAACCUUUAUCUUGGGCGGCACACUCUUGGUUUCCUCCCAUGCCCUUGCAGACUUGCGGAGUGGGGCCGCGUUGGACAGGGUGCAUCUGGGAAAGAUUCCAGGGGUCCUGGAGCGAUCAGACAAGGGUGUCAGGAACGAGCCUUCUGGGUUGCCCUUUGUGCCGAUCAUGGGGUGGCAGUGGAGGUGUUCAGAGGGGACUCAAGCUCUUUCAUUGGGGACGCUGGGGCAUCUGGGGUCCCUUGAGUGGGUUAAGGAUCUGGCUUUGCUGUGAGCUGUGGUGUAGGUCACAGACAUGACUCGUAUCCUGUGUUGCUAUGGCUGUGGUGUAGGCCGGCAGCUGUAGCUCUGAUUCGACCCGUAGGCUGGGAAUUUCCAUAUGCUGCAGGUGUGGCUCUAAAAAGACAAAAAAAAAAAAAAAAAAAAAAAAA
Molecule: long non-coding RNA, 2500 nt
Filed under: Sus scrofa (pig)
Lineage: Eukaryota; Metazoa; Chordata; Mammalia; Artiodactyla; Suidae
Description: lncRNA (ENSSSCG00050025447.1)
Source: RNAcentral